AAUUUGUUCAACUUNUAAGCUCCUACAUGAUCUGAGUUUAGACCGAUGAGAAUCANGUUGGAUUCUAUCUUAAUAAUAAGAAAUUUUCAGCUAGUACGAAAGGAAUUCUGAAAUCUAAUUUAUUAGGAUAAUCAACUUUAUUUGCAUCAAUUUUUGUAAUU
This 161-nucleotide ribosomal RNA is filed under the name Rhipicephalus pulchellus. Its description in RNAcentral is "partial 16S ribosomal RNA". Lineage: Eukaryota; Metazoa; Arthropoda; Arachnida; Ixodida; Ixodidae. The record is from RNAcentral.